RNAcentral lists this ribosomal RNA (497 nucleotides) under uncultured bacterium. RNAcentral's name for it is "partial 16S ribosomal RNA". It matches the Rfam family "Bacterial small subunit ribosomal RNA", at positions 28 to 507 of the family's 1533-position model. The record is from RNAcentral.
GAUGAACGCUGGCGGCGUGCCUAAUACAUGCAAGUCGAGCGAACAGACGAGGAGCUUGCUCCUCUGACGUUAGCGGCGGACGGGUGAGUAACACGUGGAUAACCUACCUAUAAGACUGGGAUAACUUCGGGACACCGGCGCUAAUACCGGAUAAUAUAUUGAACCGCAUGGUUCAAUGGUGAAAGACGGUUUUGCUGUCACUUAUAGAUGGAUCCGCGCCGCAUUAGCUAGUUGGUAAGGUAACGGCUUACCAAGGCAACGAUGCGUAGCCGACCUGAGAGGGUGAUCGGCCACACUGGAACUGAGACACGGUCAAGACUCCUACGGGAGGCAGCAGUAGGGAAUCUUCCGCAAUGGGCGAAAGCCUGACGGAGCAACGCCGCGUGAGUGAUGAAGGUCUUCGGAGCGUAAAACUCUGUUAUUAGGGAAGAACAAAUGUAUAAGUAACUAUGCACGUCUUGACGGUACCUAAUCAGAAAGCCACGGCUAACUACGUG